AUUGAACGCUGGCGGCAGGCCUAACACAUGCAAGUCGAACGGUAACAGGAAGCAGCUUGCUGCUUUGCUGACGAGUGGCGGACGGGUGAGUAAUGUCUGGGAAACUGCCUGAUGGAGGGGGAUAACUACUGGAAACGGUAGCUAAUACCGCAUAACGUCGCAAGACCAAAGAGGGGGACCUUAGGGCCUCUUGCCAUCGGAUGUGCCCAGAUGGGAUUAGCUAGUAGGUGGGGUAACGGCUCACCUAGGCGACGAUCCCUAGCUGGUCUGAGAGGAUGACCAGCCACACUGGAACUGAGACACGGUCCAGACUCCUACGGGAGGCAGCAGUGGGGAAUAUUGCACAAUGGGCGCAAGCCUGAUGCAGCCAUGCCGCGUGUAUGAAGAAGGCCUUCGGGUUGUAAAGUACUUUCAGCUGGGAGGAAGGGAGGAAAGUUAAUACCUUUCCGUAUUGACGUUACCCGCAGAAGAAGCACCGGCUAACUCCGUG
This 490-nucleotide ribosomal RNA is filed under the name uncultured bacterium. Its description in RNAcentral is "partial 16S ribosomal RNA". It matches the Rfam family "Bacterial small subunit ribosomal RNA", at positions 30 to 507 of the family's 1533-position model. The record is from RNAcentral.